RNAcentral lists this long non-coding RNA (562 nucleotides) under Centruroides sculpturatus (bark scorpion). RNAcentral describes it as "uncharacterized LOC111624390, transcript variant X2". The record is from RNAcentral. Lineage: Eukaryota; Metazoa; Arthropoda; Arachnida; Scorpiones; Buthidae.
GCGACCCCAUGAGUAGUAAAUAACACCAUUUGCUGUACCAAAAUGUAAUUUAUUUGGCAAUCUGUUAUUUCUUUAUUUGGUGUUUAUAGCUUAGUCAAACAUUAUAUGGCUAUUUAGAAACUUUUCUACUAUCGCUCCUCCUUCGUGCUGUUGACCCCGUUAACGUGUAACCAAAAAUUUUCGAAUUUCUUUUACGUGUUUAAACAUGCUUCUUCUGAAAAAAUGCAGCUGAUGAUUUAGGAUGAAGAAUGUUCUCGAAGACUACAAAAUAAUAGAUUCCGCGUUGGACUACCCGCUGAUUUUUAUCUACCCCAUGCAGUUCUAUAUAAGUCAGAUGGUAACCUGUGGUUUUUCUCGCAUAAGAGAUGGUUUCUUCUGUUACGUGUACCACCCGUUGACGAACUUAUUAACCAUUUCCAUGAACUACGACUCUAUAAAAGUAACAAGUAGAUACUACAGUUUAUAAAAUAUCUCCAAUGAUUCACUUUGAGAUUUAUGUGGUUGUUUAACAAUUUUUUUGGACAAGAUUUAUUAUAUUUUUAAUGGAAAUCAAUCACUUGAU